Molecule: ribosomal RNA, 867 nt
Filed under: Massariosphaeria sp.
Lineage: Eukaryota; Fungi; Ascomycota; Dothideomycetes; Pleosporales
Description: SSU rRNA
Rfam family: Eukaryotic small subunit ribosomal RNA
Source: RNAcentral
GCAUUAUACCGUGAAACUGCGAAUGGCUCAUUAAAUCAGUUAUCGUUUAUUUGAUAGUACCUUACUACUUGGAUAACCGUGGUAAUUCUAGAGCUAAUACAUGCUAAAAACCCCAACUUCGGGAGGGGUGUAUUUAUUAGAUAAAAAACCAAUGCCCUUCGGGGCUCUUUGGUGAUUCAUGAUAACUUAACGGAUCGCAUGGCCUUGCGCCGGCGACGGUUCAUUCAAAUUUCUGCCCUAUCAACUUUCGAUGGUAAGGUAUUGGCUUACCAUGGUUUCAACGGGUAACGGGGAAUUAGGGUUCGAUUCCGGAGAGGGAGCCUGAGAAACGGCUACCACAUCCAAGGAAGGCAGCAGGCGCGCAAAUUACCCAAUCCCGACACGGGGAGGUAGUGACAAUAAAUACUGAUACAGGGCUCUUUUGGGUCUUGUAAUUGGAAUGAGUACAAUUUAAACCCCUUAACGAGGAACAAUUGGAGGGCAAGUCUGGUGCCAGCAGCCGCGGUAAUUCCAGCUCCAAUAGCGUAUAUUAAAGUUGUUGCAGUUAAAAAGCUCGUAGUUGAAACUUGGGCCUGGCUGUCUGGUCCGCCUCACCGCGUGUACUGGUUCGGCCGGGCCUUUCCUUCUGGAGAGCCUCAUGCCCUUCACUGGGUGUGUUGGGGAACCAGGACUUUUACUUUGAAAAAAUUAGAGUGUUCAAAGCAGGCCUUUGCUCGAAUACGUUAGCAUGGAAUAAUAGAAUAGGACGUGCGAUCCUAUUUUGUUGGUUUCUAGGACCGCCGUAAUGAUUAAUAGGGAUAGUCGGGGGCAUCAGUAUUCAAUUGUCAGAGGUGAAAUUCUUGGAUUUAUUGAAGACUAACUACUGCG